GCCGGGGUAGCCUAGCCUGGUUUGGGCGCCAGACUCAUAAUCUGGAGGUCGCGGGUUCGAAUCCCGCCCCCGGCACCA
RNAcentral lists this transfer RNA (78 nucleotides) under Candidatus Bathyarchaeota archaeon. Its description in RNAcentral is "tRNA-Met". It matches the Rfam family "tRNA". Rfam says of the family: Transfer RNA (tRNA) molecules are approximately 80 nucleotides in length. Their secondary structure includes four short double-helical elements and three loops (D, anti-codon, and T loops). The record is from RNAcentral. RNAcentral also lists the same sequence under 1 other name. Lineage: Archaea; Thermoproteati; Candidatus Bathyarchaeota.